CCUACGGGAGGCAGCAGUGAGGAAUAUUGGUCAAUGGACGAGAGUCUGAACCAGCCAAGUAGCGUGAAGGAUGACUGCCCUAUGGGUUGUAAACUUCUUUUAUAUGGGAAUAAAAUGUUCCACGUGUGGGAUUUUGUAUGUACCAUAUGAAUAAGGAUCGGCUAACUCCGUGCCAGCAGCCGCGGUAAUACGGAGGAUCCGAGCGUUAUCCGGAUUUAUUGGGUUUAAAGGGAGCGUAGGUGGAUUGUUAAGUCAGUUGUGAAAGUUUGCGGCUCAACCGUAAAAUUGCAGUUGAAGCUGGCAGUCUUGAGUACAGUAGAGGUGGGCGGAAUUCGUGGUGUAGCGGUGAAAUGCUUAGAUAUCACGAAGAACUCCGAUUGCGAAGGCAGUUCACUGGACUGCAACUGACACUGAGGCUCGAAAGUGUGGGUAUCAAACAGGAUUAGAUACCCCAGUAGUC
This 460-nucleotide ribosomal RNA is filed under the name uncultured bacterium. Its description in RNAcentral is "partial 16S ribosomal RNA". It matches the Rfam family "Bacterial small subunit ribosomal RNA", at positions 338 to 795 of the family's 1533-position model. The record is from RNAcentral.